GCUUUCCUGUGGCUCAGUUGGUAGAGCAAAAGCGCUAACACCACAAAGGUUGUGGGUUCAAAUCCCAGGGAAAGCA
Molecule: non-coding RNA, 76 nt
Organism: Danionella cerebrum
Lineage: Eukaryota; Metazoa; Chordata; Actinopteri; Cypriniformes; Danionidae
Source: the annotation of a GenBank genome assembly